This 1195-nucleotide long non-coding RNA is filed under the name Equus asinus (donkey). Its description in RNAcentral is "lncRNA (ENSEASG00005023885.1)". The record is from RNAcentral. Lineage: Eukaryota; Metazoa; Chordata; Mammalia; Perissodactyla; Equidae.
GCCAAACAGAAAACUGCACAUCUGGAGACAUUAUUUAAAUUAACCAAAACAAACAGACAAGGAAAAAGAGGUUGCCAAAAUAUAAUUCUGGACAAAUUUAAGACUGGCAAACACAAAUUCACCUUUAAAAUGACAUGUUCUGGAAUGACUCAUAUAAUGUAAUGAACUCGAGUUCUAGUAUAUCUAAACUGCUUCAGCUAAAUCCUCAAUGAAAAAUCUCUGGACUUUUUGAGAAAUACAGAGAAAGUAGUUAACUUCAAAAAAGUGUAACUGCCAAAUACAAAAUUUCAAAGACAAGAAUAAUACUGGAGUGAAAUAUGCAUAUUUACUCAAAGUAAUUAAUACUAACAAAGUAUAAGUGCUACAUCCCAGUCGACUAAAUCAUGACAUUUGUUUUAAAGGUAUUUAAAAUGAGAGUUUCUAAUGCUUUGGUAUUACAAGGUAGCAUAUGACUAAGUGGCAAACGAGCAGUAUGACAGAAUGCCAAGGCUUAGGAUUCUCUGGGGAAGCUCCAGAGGAGGUGGGACAGGAACUUGGUCUUUCAUUAUCCUAUAAUGAUUAUAGGAUCUGGAUCAGUGGGAAAGAAGGAUGUCUCACCAAAUGGAGAAAUGGGAAUGCACAAAGGCACUGAGGUAAUAAUUAACUCCAGGACAUGAAAGGAAAGAAUUAAGACUCACACUUCAAGAUAGAAAGUAAAACAAAUGAGGGAAGCCUCUAAGAUACACAAAUUAUCCUCACUGAAAAAUAACAGAAAAAGAGUUCAGAGGCACUGCAGGUGAAACCGGAAAUGACAAAUACAUAUAGGAAUUGAAAAGAUUUAGACAUCAUUUAAAGGUUUUAGAAGGACAGUCUGAAGCAGAAAAUUAUGAGCGUGUGUUUCAGGAGACAGAAAAAGACAGUCAAUAUUACUUCAAGAUCCACUACCACAGUCAGCAAUAAAUAACUAUACAGUCAAGAUCUCUGGAAUCAUAAAACUCAUGCAAAGACUAAUAAGGGACAUGCUGGAGAUGGUGGCAGAGACAACAGAGCCAAGGCAGAUCUCACCACCACCAGCUGUGACUCCUGGAGCAGAUACUAAACCUCCCUGAGACUUAAUGUCGUCUUCUAUUAAAAAAAAAAGUCUGUAAAUCUGUUAAGAGUAUCAAGUGAAAUUUAACACAGAGGUCUUUAAAAAAUAAAGGUAGAAUAAAAAUGA